UCGGGAAUUUUGGGCAAUGGGCGAAAGCCUGACCCAGCAACGCCGCGUGAAGGAUGAAGUCUCUCGGGAUGUAAACUUCGUAAGAAUAGGAAGAAUAAAUGACGGUACUAUUUGUAAGGUCCGGCUAACUACGUGCCAGCAGCCGCGGUAAUACGUAGGGACCAAGCGUUGUUCGGAUUUACUGGGCGUAAAGGGCGCGUAGGCGGCGUGGUAAGUCACUUGUGAAAUCUCCGAGCUUAACUCGGAACGGUCAAGUGAUACUGCUGUGCUAGAGUACAGAAGGGGCAAUCGGAAUUCUUGGUGUAGCGGUGAAAUGCGUAGAUAUCAAGAGGAACACCUGAGGUGAAGACGGGUUGCUGGGCUGAUACUGACGCUGAGGCGCGAAAGCUAGGGUAGCAAACGGG
This 404-nucleotide ribosomal RNA is filed under the name uncultured bacterium. RNAcentral describes it as "bacterial SSU rRNA". It matches the Rfam family "Bacterial small subunit ribosomal RNA", at positions 355 to 776 of the family's 1533-position model. RNAcentral also lists the same sequence under 1 other name. The record is from RNAcentral.